This 258-nucleotide long non-coding RNA is filed under the name Felis catus (domestic cat). Its description in RNAcentral is "lncRNA (ENSFCAG00000053404.1)". The record is from RNAcentral. Lineage: Eukaryota; Metazoa; Chordata; Mammalia; Carnivora; Felidae.
CAUACUCUCCUAAGGAGAAAGAAUUUGAAGGAAAAAAAAAGGAGAAAGGCUGGAGACUCAGCAAAGACAUUUUCAUGGAGUGAAAAUUCUCAAGUUAUCAACGAAGAGACCAACUUCAAAAAAAUCAUAUGACGUCUGCUGUGUAAACCCCACGAGAGCAGGAAGUUUGAGAGAUGCAACACGAUACCCCCAAAUGUAGAACAGCUGGAACAGAAGCUGUAAGUAAAUGAAUAUUAAAUAAUAUUGGGCAUUUCAGAA